CUGUGGAGCAAUAGCUUUACUGCUUCUGAUUAUUGCACUGGUACUUUGUUGUGAAUUUUGUUGUUGCAAAAAAUCUAAAGAUGAUGGACAGGCUAUGGAGAGACAAGAGGUCAUGAAAACAUCAUUUGAAUGAGGCAAUGUGUUCGCUGC
Carcharodon carcharias (great white shark) is the source of this 150-nucleotide long non-coding RNA. RefSeq lists it as uncharacterized. The record is from RefSeq and is a predicted model, not a curated record. The transcript is spliced from 3 exons. Lineage: Eukaryota; Metazoa; Chordata; Chondrichthyes; Lamniformes; Lamnidae.